UACGUAGGUGGCGAGCGUUGUUCGGAUUCACUGGGCGUAAAGGGCGUGUAGGUGGUUAUGUAAGUCGAAUGUGAAAUCCCAUGGCUCAACCAUGGAAGUGCAUUCGAAACUACAUGACUAGAGUAUAGGAGAGGAGAGCGGAAUUCUCGGUGUAGCGGUGAAAUGCGUUGAGAUCGAGAAGAACACCUGCGGUGAAGACGGCUCUCUGGACUGUUACUGACACUGAGGCGCGAAAGCGUGGGUAGCAAAC
RNAcentral lists this ribosomal RNA (250 nucleotides) under uncultured bacterium. Its description in RNAcentral is "partial 16S ribosomal RNA". It matches the Rfam family "Bacterial small subunit ribosomal RNA", at positions 524 to 773 of the family's 1533-position model. The record is from RNAcentral.